UGGGGAAUUUUGGACAAUGGGCGAAAGCCUGAUCCAGCAAUGCCGCGUGUGUGAAGAAGGCCUUCGGGUUGUAAAGCACUUUUGUCCGGAAAGAAAUCCUUGGCUCUAAUACAGUCGGGGGAUGACGGUACCGGAAGAAUAAGCACCGGCUAACUACGUGCCAGCAGCCGCGGUAAUACGUAGGGUGCAAGCGUUAAUCGGAAUUACUGGGCGUAAAGCGUGCGCAGGCGGUUUGCUAAGACCGAUGUGAAAUCCCCGGGGCUCAACCUGGGAACUGCAUUGGUGACUGGCAGGCUAGAGUAUGGCAGAGGGGGGUAGAAUUCCACGUGUAGCAGUGAAAUGCGUAGAGAUGUGGAGGAAUACCGAUGGCGAAGGCAGCCCCCUGGGGCCAAUACUGACGCUCAUGCACGAAAGCGUGGGGAGCAAACAGGAUUAGAUACCCUGGUAGUCCACGCCCUAAACGAUGUCAACUAGUUGUUGGGGGAUUCAUUUUCCUUAGUAACGUAGCUAACGCGU
This 516-nucleotide ribosomal RNA is filed under the name uncultured bacterium. Its description in RNAcentral is "partial 16S ribosomal RNA". It matches the Rfam family "Bacterial small subunit ribosomal RNA", at positions 355 to 860 of the family's 1533-position model. The record is from RNAcentral.